RNAcentral lists this ribosomal RNA (465 nucleotides) under uncultured bacterium. RNAcentral describes it as "partial 16S ribosomal RNA". It matches the Rfam family "Bacterial small subunit ribosomal RNA", at positions 28 to 507 of the family's 1533-position model. The record is from RNAcentral.
GACGAACGCUGGCGGCGUGCCUAACACAUGCAAGUCGAACGAAAAGGCCCCUUUGGGGGUCCUCGGGUGGCGAACGGGGGCGUAACACGUGAGUAACCUGCCCUUGACUUCGGGAUAACUUCAGGAAACUGGGGCUAAUACCGGAGAGGAAUCCUUGCUGCAUGGUGGGGGUUGGAAAGCUUCGGCGGUUUUUGGUGUACUUGCGGCUUAUCAGCUUGCUGGUGUGGUAGUGGCUUACCGAGGCUAUGACGGGUAGCCGGCCUGAGAGGGCGAGCGGCCACAUUGGGACUGAGAUACGGCCCCGACUCCUACGCGUGGCAGAAGUGGGGAAUAUUGCACAAUCGGCGGAAGCCUGAUGCAGCAGCGCCGCGGGCGGGAUGACGGCGUUCGGCUUGUAAACCGCUUUCAGCAGGGGCGAAGCUUGUGGUGACGGUACCUGCAGAAGAAGCACCGGCUAACUACGUG